Bos taurus (domestic cattle) is the source of this 72-nucleotide non-coding RNA. The record is from Rfam. NCBI's taxonomy places the organism in Eukaryota, Metazoa, Chordata, Mammalia, Artiodactyla, Bovidae.
UCCCUGAUAGCUCAGUUGGUAAAGAAUCUGCCUGCAAUGCAGAGGACCUGGGUUCAAUCCCUGGGUUGGGAA